GACGAACGCUGGCGGCGUGCUUAACACAUGCCAGUCGAACGGAAAGGCCCUGCUUUUGUGGGGUGCUCGAGUGGCGAACGGGUGAGUAACACGUGAGUAACCUGCCCUUGACUUUGGGAUAACUUCAGGAAACUGGGGCUAAUACCGGAUAGGAGCUCCUGCUGCAUGGUGGGGGUUGGAAAGUUUCGGCGGUUGGGGAUGGACUCGCGGCUUAUCAGCUUGUUGGUGGGGUAGUGGCUUACCAAGGCUUUGACGGGUAGCCGGCCUGAGAGGGUGACCGGCCACAUUGGGACUGAGAUACGGCACAGACUCCUACGGGAGGCAGCAGUGGGGAAUAUUGCACAAUGGGCGGAAGCCUAAUGCAGCAACGCCGCGUGCGGGAUGACGGCCUUCGGGUUGUAAACCGCUUUCGCCUGUGACGAAGCGUGAGUGACGGUAAUGGGUAAAGAAGCACCGGCUAACUACGUG
This 468-nucleotide ribosomal RNA is filed under the name uncultured bacterium. Its description in RNAcentral is "partial 16S ribosomal RNA". It matches the Rfam family "Bacterial small subunit ribosomal RNA", at positions 28 to 507 of the family's 1533-position model. The record is from RNAcentral.